AAAGAAGCAAUGGCCCAUCCAUAUUUCGGGCAAGUGAGGGCUGCUGAAACUAGCAGGAUGAGGACACAGUAGCUUUCUUGUCUUGCUGUUAAUGGGAAGAAAAAAAACUGUGUAAUGUACCUUGUGUAUCCAUUUAAGUGACAUUCGUGAGAACUAUGUGGAUUUGAACUUGAGCAGACAUCUGAAUUCAGGAAUUACAGAUCUUCAUCAUUGAACAUUUCAAGAA
Molecule: unclassified non-coding RNA, 226 nt
Filed under: Hevea brasiliensis (rubber tree)
Lineage: Eukaryota; Viridiplantae; Streptophyta; Magnoliopsida; Malpighiales; Euphorbiaceae
Source: RNAcentral